RNAcentral lists this long non-coding RNA (569 nucleotides) under Rattus norvegicus (Norway rat). Its description in RNAcentral is "long non-coding RNA NONRATT011986". Lineage: Eukaryota; Metazoa; Chordata; Mammalia; Rodentia; Muridae. The record is from RNAcentral.
CAGAAGCAAAAAACCAAAGUCGUUUUUGUUUUCUCUCCAGUUAGUAGUUUUAACAACUUAAAGUUUAUGUUGAUUUAAGUUACAGUGAAUCAGGUCUCUACCACUUAAUUUGUUUUUUCAAGAUCCACAACAAAAAGAGUGGAGGUAUUGCCCCCCUCCCCAAACUCAUUACGUGAAAACUGUUAUCUGAUCUAAGAUGAUUUCUUUUUAUUUAGUCAAGGUUCAGAAAUGGCUUCUCAAGGACGGGAACUAGCCAACCAUUUCCAGAAUGUGGGCACUCCAGUAAUGAUUGGGGGAGGAGUAUUGGCUCACACAAUACUAGGAGUCGCAUGGAAUGAAACUACAGGGCAGAUCAAAUUCCUAAUUCUAGACCCACACUAUACAGGUGCUGAAGACCUGCAAGUUAUAUUGGAAAAGGGCUGGUGUGGAUGGAAGGGUCCAGACUUUUGGAACAAGGAUGCAUACUACAACUUAUGCCUUCCUCAACGACCAAAUGCUCUUUAAAUUACCUUGGUGUCAAGACUAUAAAUAUAAAAGAGCUGUUCCAAUGUUAAUAAAAGCAUAAUUUU